RNAcentral lists this ribosomal RNA (354 nucleotides) under uncultured bacterium. RNAcentral describes it as "bacterial SSU rRNA". It matches the Rfam family "Bacterial small subunit ribosomal RNA", at positions 1 to 334 of the family's 1533-position model. The record is from RNAcentral.
ACAGAUCGUUCAGAGUUUGAUCCUGGCUCAGGAGAACGCUGGCGGCAUGCCUAACACAUGCAAGUCGAACGGAGCCAUCUAAACAAUCCCUUCGGGGUGCGUUUGGGGAAGCUUAGUGGCGGACGGGUGAGUAACGCGUGAGUAACCUGCCUUUCAGAGGGGGAUAACGUUCCGAAAGGAACGCUAAUACCGCAUAACGCAUUUUUACCGCAUGAUAGAGAUACCAAAGAUUUAUCGCUGAAAGAUGGACUCGCGUCUGAUUAGCUAGUUGGAGGGGUAACGGCCCACCAAGGCGACGAUCAGUAGCCGAACUGAGAGGUUGAUCGGCCACAUUGGGACUGAGACACGGCCCAG